AGUUGAGAUGGGAGUAGCGAGCCGUGGGCCAGGGCCACGUUAAUAACUGGAAACUUAAAUUAAACGCUAAAACAAACAAUAAUUUAGCUUUCGCUGCAUAGUCAGCGGACGUCUUACCACUAGUUUGUCUGUGACUGGUGACUGAGACGAAAACAAAUAGCAGACUACUUUCCAAAGUUGCUUCGACUUGGUAAGGAAACUAAGAAGCUAGUAUCUUUAAGAUUUUGUCUCUAGAAGCCUAAAGAUGCGAACUCCAAAGUAGAGACUGCGCUCGGAGAUACUGCUGUUAAGAUGCCUUCGGACGGGGGUUCGACUCCCCCCGCCUCCACCA
This 331-nucleotide transfer-messenger RNA is filed under the name Alkalicella caledoniensis. RNAcentral describes it as "Clostridiales bacterium LB2 transfer-messenger RNA". It matches the Rfam family "transfer-messenger RNA". From Rfam's summary of the family: Bacterial tmRNA, also known as 10Sa RNA or SsrA, is named for its dual tRNA and mRNA-like properties. Its role is to liberate the mRNA from a stalled ribosome. The record is from RNAcentral. Lineage: Bacteria; Bacillati; Bacillota; Clostridia; Eubacteriales; Proteinivoracaceae.